This 1387-nucleotide ribosomal RNA is filed under the name Enterococcus durans. Its description in RNAcentral is "bacterial SSU rRNA". It matches the Rfam family "Bacterial small subunit ribosomal RNA", at positions 59 to 1412 of the family's 1533-position model. The record is from RNAcentral. Lineage: Bacteria; Bacillati; Bacillota; Bacilli; Lactobacillales; Enterococcaceae.
AACUUCCGUUAAUUGAUUAUGACGUACUUGUACUGAUUGAGAUUUUAACACGAAGUGAGUGGCGAACGGGUGAGUAACACGUGGGUAACCUGCCCAGAAGUAGGGGAUAACACCUGGAAACAGAUGCUAAUACCGUAUAACAGAGAAAACCGCAUGGUUUUCUUUUAAAAGAUGGCUCUGCUAUCACUUCUGGAUGGACCCGCGGCGUAUUAGCUAGUUGGUGAGGUAAAGGCUCACCAAGGCAGUGAUACGUAGCCGACCUGAGAGGGUAAUCGGCCACAUUGGGACUGAGACACGGCCCAGACUCCUACGGGAGGCAGCAGUAGGGAAUCUUCCACAAUGGACGCAAGUCUGAUGGAGCAACGCCGCGUGAGUGAAGAAGGGUUUCGGCUCGUAAAGCUCUGUUGUUAAAGAAGAACGUGGGUAAGAGUAACUGUUUACCCAGUGACGGUAUUUAACCAGAAAGCCACGGCUAACUACGUGCCAGCAGCCGCGGUAAUACGUAGGUGGCAAGCGUUAUCCGGAUUUAUUGGGCGUAAAGCGAGCGCAGGCGGUCUUUUAAGUCUAAUGUGAAAGCCUUCGGCUCAACCGAAGAAGUGCAUUGGAAACUGGGAGACUUGAGUGCAGAAGAGGACAGUGGAACUCCAUGUGUAGCGGUGAAAUGCGUAGAUAUAUGGAAGAACACCAGUGGCGAAGGCGGCUGUCUGGUCUGCAACUGACGCUGAGGCUCGAAAGCAUGGGUAGCGAACAGGAUUAGAUACCCUGGUAGUCCAUGCCGUAAACGAUGAUUACUAAGUGUUGGAGGGUUUCCGCCCUUCAGUGCUGCAGCUAACGCAUUAAGUAAUCCGCCUGGGGAGUACGACCGCAAGGUUGAAACUCAAAAGAAUUGACGGGGGCCCGCACAAGCGGUGGAGCAUGUGGUUUAAUUCGAAGCUACGCGAAGAACCUUACCAGGUCUUGACAUCUUCUGACAGUCUAAGAGAUUAGAGGUUCCCUUCGGGGACAGAAUGACAGGUGGUGCAUGGUUGUCGUCAGCUCGUGUCGUGAGAUGUUGGGUUAAGUCCCGCAACGAGCGCAACCCUUAUUACUAGUUGCCAGCAUUAAGUUGGGCACUCUAGUGAGACUGCCGGUGACAAACCGGAGGAAGGUGGGGACGACGUCAAAUCAUCAUGCCCCUUAUGACCUGGGCUACACACGUGCUACAAUGGAUGGUACAACGAGUCGCGAGACCGCGAGGUUAAGCUAAUCUCUUAAAACCAUUCUCAGUUCGGACUGUAGGCUGCAACUCGCCUACACGAAGUCGGAAUCGCUAGUAAUCGCGGAUCAGCAUGCCGCGGUGAAUACGUUCCCGGGCCUUGUACACACCGCCCGUCACACCAUGAGAGUU